RNAcentral lists this ribosomal RNA (253 nucleotides) under uncultured bacterium. RNAcentral describes it as "partial 16S ribosomal RNA". It matches the Rfam family "Bacterial small subunit ribosomal RNA", at positions 524 to 776 of the family's 1533-position model. The record is from RNAcentral.
UACGAAGGGGGCUAGCGUUGCUCGGAAUGACUGGGCGUAAAGGGCGCGUAGGCGGAUGGCACAGUCAGAUGUGAAAUUCCCGGGCUUAACCUGGGGGCUGCAUUUGAUACGUGUGAUCUAGAGUGAGGAAGAGGGUCGUGGAAUUCCCAGUGUAGAGGUGAAAUUCGUAGAUAUUGGGAAGAACACUGGUGGCGAAGGCGGCGACCUGGUCCUUGACUGACGCUGAGGCGCGAAAGCGUGGGGAGCAAACAGG